UGGGGAAUAUUGGACAAUGGGCGAAAGCCUGAUCCAGCCAUGCCGCGUGUGUGAAGAAGGCCUUUUGGUUGUAAAGCACUUUAAGCGAGGAGGAGGCUACUUAGAUUAAUACUCUAGGAUAGUGGACGUUACUCGCAGAAUAAGCACCGGCUAACUCUGUGCCAGCAGCCGCGGUAAUACAGAGGGUGCGAGCGUUAAUCGGAUUUACUGGGCGUAAAGCGUGCGUAGGCGGCUUUUUAAGUCGGAUGUGAAAUCCCUGAGCUUAACUCAGGAAUUGCAUUCGAUACUGGGAAGCUAGAGUAUGGGAGAGGAUGGUAGAAUUCCAGGUGUAGCGGUGAAAUGCGUAGAGAUCUGGAGGAAUACCGAUGGCGAAGGCAGCCAUCUGGCCUAAUACUGACGCUGAGGUACGAAAGCAUGGGGAGCAAACAGG
Molecule: ribosomal RNA, 430 nt
Filed under: Acidobacteriota bacterium
Lineage: Bacteria; Pseudomonadati; Acidobacteriota
Description: Acidobacteria bacterium partial 16S ribosomal RNA
Rfam family: Bacterial small subunit ribosomal RNA
Source: RNAcentral